AUGUUAGAAGGUGCAAAAUCAAUAGGUGCCUGCUACAAUUGCUUCAGCGAGAGCUGCUGUUGGUAUUGGAAACGUAUUCAAUUCAUUAAUUCAUUCCGUGGAAAGAAAUCCAUCAUUGGCAAAACAGUUAUUCGGAUAUGCAAUCCCGGGCUUUGCUCUAACCGAGGCUAUUGCCUUGUUCACAUUAAUGAUGGCCUUUUUGAUUCUAUUUGUUUUCUAAGUUUAUCCUUUUGA
Non-coding RNA from Vicia faba (fava bean), 234 nucleotides. Lineage: Eukaryota; Viridiplantae; Streptophyta; Magnoliopsida; Fabales; Fabaceae. The record is from the annotation of a GenBank genome assembly.